This 492-nucleotide ribosomal RNA is filed under the name uncultured bacterium. Its description in RNAcentral is "partial 16S ribosomal RNA". It matches the Rfam family "Bacterial small subunit ribosomal RNA", at positions 29 to 507 of the family's 1533-position model. The record is from RNAcentral.
AGUGAACGCUGGCGGUAGGCCUAACACAUGCAAGUCGAACGGCAGCACAGUAAGAGCUUGCUCUUACGGGUGGCGAGUGGCGGACGGGUGAGGAAUACAUCGGAAUCUACUUUUUCGUGGGGGAUAACGUAGGGAAACUUACGCUAAUACCGCAUACGACCUACGGGUGAAAGCAGUGGAUCUUCGGACCUUGCGCGUUUGAAUGAGCCGAUGUCGGAUUAGCUAGUUGGCGGGGUAAAGGCCCACCAAGGCGACGAUCCGUAGCUGGUCUGAGAGGAUGAUCAGCCACACUGGAACUGAGACACGGUCCAGACUCCUAAGGGAGGCAGCAGUGGGGAAUAUUGGACAAUGGGCGCAAGCCUGAUCCAGCCAUACCGCGUGGGUGAAGAAGGCCUUCGGGUUGUAAAGCCCUUUUGUUGGGAAAGAAAAGCAGCAGGUUAAUACCCCGCUGUUCUGAAGGUACCCAAAGAAUAAGCACCGGCUAAAUUCGUG